This 741-nucleotide long non-coding RNA is filed under the name Macaca mulatta (Rhesus monkey). RNAcentral describes it as "lncRNA (ENSMMUG00000061928.1)". The record is from RNAcentral. Lineage: Eukaryota; Metazoa; Chordata; Mammalia; Primates; Cercopithecidae.
AUGGACAAAUUAUUUGAAAAACUACAGCAACAUAGGAGAGGAUUAAAUACGUUCACUGGCAAUUUGUAUUUCCACGUUGUCGUUCUACAACAAUGUACCCAAGCACACACUGCUGCCCUGCAGACACCAAGGACAUCUGCCAGAGGUCGGGGUCACCAGGAUGCUGACAUUCUGGAAGUAAACAAUGUUAAUGGAUGGAAAUAUGGUGAAUUAGAAACGAUCAAUUUGUAUGGAGGAAUAAGCUGGAAGGAAGGGAAUGGUAGUGGAAAUCCUCCACACUUCUCAAUUCAUCUCUUUCCCAACUGCCUGAUGCAGCUUCCAUCAACAGAGAAGUGCUGGUGCUGAGAAGGCGCCCCUCCUGCUCCAUGAAGAUGCACUUGAUCCAGAAAGAAAACUCUGUCCCUCAAUGGCUUUGAUGGAGCCUUCUGGCGUGUGGGAGAAGCCAACACCUGGAGGAACUAAAUGCAGGCUUUGACCAGCAGCCUGCAAUGAACUGAGUUCAAACAGCAAUAAUGUGAGCUAAGAAAUAACUUCUUCACCAGCUGAAAUUUUAGUUGAGACCUCAGCCUUGGCUAUCAUCUAUGUCUCAUUUCUUGACCCAGAGAACUAUGAGAUAAUACUUUAUGCAUUUUUAGGCCAGUAAAUUUGUGGUAAUUUAUAAGGCAGUAAUAAAUAAGUAAUGCACUUAAGAACUAAAUGUCAUGUGCUAUCCUGGAUUGGAUCCUUGAACAGACAAAUGAC